This 490-nucleotide ribosomal RNA is filed under the name uncultured bacterium. RNAcentral's name for it is "partial 16S ribosomal RNA". It matches the Rfam family "Bacterial small subunit ribosomal RNA", at positions 30 to 507 of the family's 1533-position model. The record is from RNAcentral.
AUUGAACGAGGGAGGAAGGAAGGACACAUGCAAGUCGAACGGUAACAGGAAGCAGCUUGCUGCUUCGCUGACGAGUGGCGGACGGGUGAGUAAUGUCUGGGAAACUGCCUGAUGGAGGGGGAUAACUACUGGAAACGGUAGCUAAUACCGCAUAACGUCGCAAGACCAAAGAGGGGGACCUUAGGGCCUCUUGCCAUCGGAUGUGCCCAGAUGGGAUUAGCUAGUAGGUGGGGUAACGGCUCACCUAGGCGACGAUCCCUAGCUGGUCUGAGAGGAUGACCAGCCACACUGGAACUGAGACACGGUCCAGACUCCUACGGGAGGCAGCAGUGGGGAAUAUUGCACAAAGGGCGCAAGCCUGAUGCAGCCAUGCCGCGUGUAUGAAGAAGGCCUUCGGGUUGUAAAGUACUUUCAGCGGGGAGGAAGGGAGUAAAGUUAAUACCUUUGCUCAUUGACGUUACCCGCAGAAGAAGCACCGGCUAACUCCGUG